RNAcentral lists this transfer RNA (70 nucleotides) under Sphaerobolus stellatus SS14. RNAcentral describes it as "tRNA-Thr (CGT) (tRNA-Thr-CGT-7-1)". It matches the Rfam family "tRNA". From Rfam's summary of the family: Transfer RNA (tRNA) molecules are approximately 80 nucleotides in length. Lineage: Eukaryota; Fungi; Basidiomycota; Agaricomycetes; Geastrales; Sphaerobolaceae. The record is from RNAcentral.
GUUUUAGCACAGUGGUAGUGCGUUCCACUCGUAAUGGGAAAGGUCGCUCGUGCAAUCCGGGCAGGGGACA